Molecule: ribosomal RNA, 493 nt
Filed under: uncultured bacterium
Lineage: Bacteria
Description: bacterial SSU rRNA
Rfam family: Bacterial small subunit ribosomal RNA
Source: RNAcentral
AUCAUGGCUCAGAUUGAACGCUGGCGGCAGGCCUAACACAUGCAAGUCGAGCGAGAAAGGUCUUCGGACUGAGUACAGCGGCGGACGGGUGAGUAAUGCGCAGGAAUCUACCUGGUAGUGGGGGAUAACUCGGGGAAACUCGAACUAAUACCGCAUACGCCCUACGGGGGAAANCGGGGGACCUUCGGGCCUCGCGCUAUCAGAUGAGCCUGCGUAGGAUUAGCUUGUUGGUGAGGUAAAGGCUCACCAAGGCGACGAUCCUUAGCUGGUCUGAGAGGAUGAUCAGCCACACUGGAACUGAGACACGGUCCAGACUCCUACGGGAGGCAGCAGUGGGGAAUAUUGCGCAAUGGGCGAAAGCCUGACGCAGCCAUGCCGCGUGUGUGAAGAAGGCCCUUGGGUUGUAAAGCACUUUCAAUUGGGAAGAAAGGUUGCGUGUUAAUAGCACGUAGCUGUGACGUUACCUUUAGAAGAAGCACCGGCUAACUCCGUG